This 1410-nucleotide ribosomal RNA is filed under the name Halomonas campaniensis. RNAcentral describes it as "bacterial SSU rRNA". It matches the Rfam family "Bacterial small subunit ribosomal RNA". Lineage: Bacteria; Pseudomonadati; Pseudomonadota; Gammaproteobacteria; Oceanospirillales; Halomonadaceae. The record is from RNAcentral.
UCCUGGCUCAGAUUGAACGCUGGCGGCAGGCCUAACACAUGCAAGUCGAGCGGCAGCACGGGAAGCUUGCUUCCUGGUGGCGAGCGGCGGACGGGUGAGUAAUGCAUAGGAAUCUGCCCGAUAGUGGGGGAUAACCUGGGGAAACCCAGGCUAAUACCGCAUACGUCCUACGGGAGAAAGCAGGGGCUCUUCGGACCUUGCGCUAUCGGAUGAGCCUAUGUCGGAUUAGCUGGUUGGUGAGGUAAUGGCUCACCAAGGCGACGAUCCGUAGCUGGUCUGAGAGGAUGAUCAGCCACAUCGGGACUGAGACACGGCCCGAACUCCUACGGGAGGCAGCAGUGGGGAAUAUUGGACAAUGGGCGCAAGCCUGAUCCAGCCAUGCCGCGUGUGUGAAGAAGGCCCUCGGGUUGUAAAGCACUUUCAGUGGGGAAGAAAGCCUUGGGGCUAAUACCCUCGAGGAAGGACAUCACCCACAGAAGAAGCACCGGCUAACUCCGUGCCAGCAGCCGCGGUAAUACGGAGGGUGCGAGCGUUAAUCGGAAUUACUGGGCGUAAAGCGCGCGUAGGUGGCUUGAUAAGCCGGUUGUGAAAGCCCCGGGCUCAACCUGGGAACGGCAUCCGGAACUGUCAGGCUAGAGUGCAGGAGAGGAAGGUAGAAUUCCCGGUGUAGCGGUGAAAUGCGUAGAGAUCGGGAGGAAUACCAGUGGCGAAGGCGGCCUUCUGGACUGACACUGACACUGAGGUGCGAAAGCGUGGGUAGCAAACAGGAUUAGAUACCCUGGUAGUCCACGCCGUAAACGAUGUCGACUAGCCGUUGGGAGCCUCGAGUUCUUAGUGGCGCAGUUAACGCGAUAAGUCGACCGCCUGGGGAGUACGGCCGCAAGGUUAAAACUCAAAUGAAUUGACGGGGGCCCGCACAAGCGGUGGAGCAUGUGGUUUAAUUCGAUGCAACGCGAAGAACCUUACCUACCCUUGACAUCGUGCGAACUUGGUAGAGAUACCUUGGUGCCUUCGGGAACGCACAGACAGGUGCUGCAUGGCUGUCGUCAGCUCGUGUUGUGAAAUGUUGGGUUAAGUCCCGUAACGAGCGCAACCCUUGUCCCUAUUUGCCAGCGAUUCGGUCGGGAACUCUAGGGAGACUGCCGGUGACAAACCGGAGGAAGGUGGGGACGACGUCAAGUCAUCAUGGCCCUUACGGGUAGGGCUACACACGUGCUACAAUGGUCGGUACAAAGGGUUGCAAAGCGGCGACGUGGAGCUAAUCCCAUAAAGCUGAUCUCAGUCCGGAUCGGAGUCUGCAACUCGACUCCGUGAAGUCGGAAUCGCUAGUAAUCGUGAAUCAGAAUGUCACGGUGAAUACGUUCCCGGGCCUUGUACACACCGCCCGUCACACCAUGGGAGUGGACUGCA